RNAcentral lists this ribosomal RNA (352 nucleotides) under uncultured Desulfovibrio sp. RNAcentral's name for it is "bacterial SSU rRNA". It matches the Rfam family "Bacterial small subunit ribosomal RNA", at positions 1028 to 1382 of the family's 1533-position model. The record is from RNAcentral. Lineage: Bacteria; Pseudomonadati; Thermodesulfobacteriota; Desulfovibrionia; Desulfovibrionales; Desulfovibrionaceae.
AGGGUGACAGGUGGUGCAGUGGUUGUCGUCAGCUCGUGUCGUGAGAUGUUGGGUUAAGUCCCGCAACGAGCGCAACCCUCGCCUUUAGUUGCCAGCAUUCAGUUGGGCACUCUAGAGGGACUGCCGGUGUCAAACCGGAGGAAGUGGGAUGACGUCAAGUCCUCAUGGCCUUUAUGUCUAGGGCUACACACGUACUACAAUGGCCGGUACAAAGGGCAGCCACUCAGCGAUAAGGCGCUAAUCCCAUAAAGCCGGUCUCAGUCCGGAUCGCAGUCUGCAACUCGACUGCGUGAAGUUGGAAUCGCUAGUAAUCGUAGAUCAGCAUGCUACGGUGAAUACGUUCCCGGGCCUU